This 62-nucleotide transfer RNA is filed under the name Chaetoderma nitidulum. RNAcentral's name for it is "tRNA-His". The record is from RNAcentral. Lineage: Eukaryota; Metazoa; Mollusca; Caudofoveata; Chaetodermatida; Chaetodermatidae.
GUUAAAUUAGUUUAAAUAAAAACGGUAAGUUGUGGGCUUAAGAAUAAUUAUCUUAUUUGACA